GACGAACGCUGGCGGCGUGCUUAACACAUGCAAGUCGAACGGAAAGGCCCUGCUUUUGUGGGGUGCUCGAGUGGCGAACGGGUGAGUAACACGUGAGUAACCUGCCCUUGACUUUGGGACAACUUCAGGAAACUGGGGCUAAUACCGGAUAGGAGCUCCUGCUGCAUGGUGGGGGUUGGAAAGUUUCGGCGGUUGGGGAUGGACUCGCGGCUUAUCAGCUUGUUGGUGGGGUAGUGGCUUACCAAGGCUUUGACGGGUAGUCGGCCUGAGAGGGUGACCGGCCACAUUGGGACUGAGAUACGGCCCAGACUCCUACGGGAGGCAGCAGUGGGGAAUAUUGCACAAUGGGCGGAAGCCUGAUGCAGCAACGCCGCGUGCGGGAUGACGGCCUUCGGGUUGUAAACCGCUUUCGCCUGUGACGAAGCGUGAGUGACGGUAAUGGGUAAAGAAGCACCGGCUAACUACGUG
RNAcentral lists this ribosomal RNA (468 nucleotides) under uncultured bacterium. Its description in RNAcentral is "partial 16S ribosomal RNA". It matches the Rfam family "Bacterial small subunit ribosomal RNA", at positions 28 to 507 of the family's 1533-position model. The record is from RNAcentral.